ACCCAUGGGAUGGGAGAAAAUAUUUGCAAUCAUAUCUGAUAAGGGGUUAAUAUUCAGAAUAUCUGAAAGAACUCCUAUAAUUCAAUAGCAAAUAAGCAAUCCAGUUUCAUUUAAAAAAUGGGC
Molecule: long non-coding RNA, 123 nt
Organism: Lynx canadensis (Canada lynx)
Lineage: Eukaryota; Metazoa; Chordata; Mammalia; Carnivora; Felidae
Exons: 3
Source: RefSeq, a predicted model, not a curated record